CCGUGCCAGCAGCCGCGGUAAUACGGAGGGUCCAAGCGUUAUCCGGAAUCACUGGGUUUAAAGGGUGCGUAGGUGGUUAUUUAAGUCAGAAGUGAAAUCUUGCAGCUCAACUGUAAAACUGCUUUUGAAACUGAAUAACUUGAAUAUUUUUGAUGUGGGCGGAAUGAGUCAUGUAGCGGUGAAAUGCGUAGAUAUGACUCAGAACACCGAUUGCGAAGGCAGCUCACAAAGAAAUAUUGACACUGAGGCACGAAAGCGUGGGUAGCGAACAGGAUUAGAUACCCUGGUAGUCCACGCCGUAAACGAUGUUUACUCGUUAUUUAUGCGAUAUAGUAUAAGUGACCAAGCGAAAGCGUUAAGUAAACCACCUGGGAAGUACGGUCGCAAGGCUGAAACUCAAAGGAAUUGGCGGGGGUCCGCACAAGCGGUGGAGUAUGUGGUUUAAUUCGAUGAUAAGCGAGGAACCUUACCUGGAUUCAAUUCAAGUUGACAGUCUUAGAGAUAGGAUUUUCUUCGGACAACUUGAAAGGUGCUGCAUGGUUGUCGUCAGCUCGUGCCGUGAGGUGUUGGGUUAAGUCCCGCAACGAGCGCAACCCUUACCUUUAGUUGCCAGCACAUUAUGGUGGGAACUCUAGAGGAACUGCCUUCGUAAGGAGGAGGAAGGUGGGGAUGACGUCAAAUCAUCAUGGCCCUUAAGUCCAGGGCUACACACGUACUACAAUGGUCGGUACAAAGGGUUGCGACAUAGCGAUAUGAAGCCAAUCCCUAAAAGCCGAUCUCAGUUCGGAUCGAAGUCUGCAACUCGACUUCGUGAAGCUGGAA
Molecule: ribosomal RNA, 822 nt
Filed under: marine metagenome
Description: bacterial SSU rRNA
Rfam family: Bacterial small subunit ribosomal RNA
Source: RNAcentral